Molecule: ribosomal RNA, 2412 nt
Filed under: Salmonella enterica subsp. enterica serovar Typhimurium
Lineage: Bacteria; Pseudomonadati; Pseudomonadota; Gammaproteobacteria; Enterobacterales; Enterobacteriaceae
Description: partial 23S ribosomal RNA
Rfam family: Bacterial large subunit ribosomal RNA
Source: RNAcentral
AGCGACUUAUAUUCUGUAGCAAGGUUAACCGAAUAGGGGAGCCGGAGGGAAACCGAGUCUUAAUUGGGCGUUAAGUUGCAGGGUAUAGACCCGAAACCCGGUGAUCUAGCCAUGGGCAGGUUGAAGGUUGGGUAACACUAACUGGAGGACCGAACCGACUAAUGUUGAAAAAUUAGCGGAUGACCUGUGGCUGGGGGUGAAAGGCCAAUCAAACCGGGAGAUAGCUGGUUCUCCCCGAAAGCUAUUUAGGUAGCGCCUCGUGAAUUCAUCUCCGGGGGUAGAGCACUGUUUCGGCUAGGGGGCCAUCCCGGCUUACCAACCCGAUGCAAACUGCGAAUACCGGAGAAUGUUAUCACGGGAGACACACGGCGGGUGCUAACGUCCGUCGUGAAGAGGGAAACAACCCAGACCGCCAGCUAAGGUCCCAAAGUCAUGGUUAAGUGGGAAACGAUGUGGGAAGGCCCAGACAGCCAGGAUGUUGGCUUAGAAGCAGCCAUCAUUUAAAGAAAGCGUAAUAGCUCACUGGUCGAGUCGGCCUGCGCGGAAGAUGUAACGGGGCUAAACCAUGCACCGAAGCUGCGGCAGCGAACGUAUCACCCAAGACAACUUUACGGAGUUGACGAUUGACGGAGCGAAGCGACGUCAAAGCGUUCAUUAAAGUCGAGUUGGCUUAGGGAUACGUUCGUUGGGUAGGGGAGCGUUCUGUAAGCCUGUGAAGGUGUGUCGUGAGGCAUGCUGGAGGUAUCAGAAGUGCGAAUGCUGACAUAAGUAACGAUAAAGCGGGUGAAAAGCCCGCUCGCCGGAAGACCAAGGGUUCCUGUCCAACGUUAAUCGGGGCAGGGUGAGUCGACCCCUAAGGCGAGGCCGAAAGGCGUAGUCGAUGGGAAACGGGUUAAUAUUCCCGUACUUGGUGUUACUGCGAAGGGGGGACGGAGAAGGCUAUGUUGGCCGGGCGACGGUUGUCCCGGUUUAAGCGUGUAGGUGUGUGUUCCAGGUAAAUCCGGUUCACUUUAACACUGAGGCGUGACGACGAGGCACUACGGUGCUGAAGCAACAAAUGCCCUGCUUCCAGGAAAAGCCUCUAAGCAUCAGGUAACAUCAAAUCGUACCCCAAACCGACACAGGUGGUCAGGUAGAGAAUACCAAGGCGCUUGAGAGAACUCGGGUGAAGGAACUAGGCAAAAUGGUGCCGUAACUUCGGGAGAAGGCACGCUGACACGUAGGUGAAGUGAUUUACUCAUGGAGCUGAAGUCAGUCGAAGAUACCAGCUGGCUGCAACUGUUUAUUAAAAACACAGCACUGUGCAAACACGAAAGUGGACGUAUACGGUGUGACGCCUGCCCGGUGCCGGAAGGUUAAUUGAUGGGGUCAGCGCAAGCGAAGCUCCUGAUCGAAGCCCCGGUAAACGGCGGCCGUAACUAUAACGGUCCUAAGGUAGCGAAAUUCCUUGUCGGGUAAGUUCCGACCUGCACGAAUGGCGUAAUGAUGGCCAGGCUGUCUCCACCCGAGACUCAGUGAAAUUGAACUCGCUGUGAAGAUGCAGUGUACCCGCGGCAAGACGGAAAGACCCCGUGAACCUUUACUAUAGCUUGACACUGAACAUUGAGCCUUGAUGUGUAGGAUAGGUGGGAGGCUUUGAAGUGUGGACGCCAGUCUGCAUGGAGCCGACCUUGAAAUACCACCCUUUAAUGUUUGAUGUUCUAACGUGGACCCGUAAUCCGGGUUGCGGACAGUGUCUGGUGGGUAGUUUGACUGGGGCGGUCUCCUCCUAAAGAGUAACGGAGGAGCACGAAGGUUGGCUAAUCCUGGUCGGACAUCAGGAGGUUAGUGCAAUGGCAUAAGCCAGCUUGACUGCGAGCGUGACGGCGCGAGCAGGUGCGAAAGCAGGUCAUAGUGAUCCGGUGGUUCUGAAUGGAAGGGCCAUCGCUCAACGGAUAAAAGGUACUCCGGGGAUAACAGGCUGAUACCGCCCAAGAGUUCAUAUCGACGGCGGUGUUUGGCACCUCGAUGUCGGCUCAUCACAUCCUGGGGCUGAAGUAGGUCCCAAGGGUAUGGCUGUUCGCCAUUUAAAGUGGUACGCGAGCUGGGUUUAGAACGUCGUGAGACAGUUCGGUCCCUAUCUGCCGUGGGCGCUGGAGAACUGAGGGGGGCUGCUCCUAGUACGAGAGGACCGGAGUGGACGCAUCACUGGUGUUCGGGUUGUCAUGCCAAUGGCACUGCCCGGUAGCUAAAUGCGGAAGAGAUAAGUGCUGAAAGCAUCUAAGCACGAAACUUGCCCCGAGAUGAGUUCUCCCUGAGACUUAGAGUCUCCUGAAGGAACGUUGAAGACGACGACGUUGAUAGGCCGGGUGUGUAAGCGCAGCGAUGCGUUGAGCUAACCGGUACUAAUGAACCGUGAGGCUUAACCUUACA